GAAAUAAAGUCUAAAAAUACAGAAAGAUACCAUAAAAUAGAGUUUUAACACAUAAUAGGCACUAAUCUAAAUUCAAGAUCGUGUAGCACCAUGUGUGUUCGAGCCUUUACGGUCAAGCUGUGCCAAGCUUGGCUUUAGAGGUGGACUCGCCCAUGACAGUCGAGUUGGGACAAUAUGCCAUAUUUUGACACUUUUAUAUAAUAGCAAAUACAUAGUAAUAGAACGUAUCUAAGUCAGUUGAAAUUAAAUUAGAAGAAAAAAUGUGGACAGUAUGAUAACCAAUAAAUAUAUAUAUUCAAUUUACAGUAAAAUAUAUGGAGUCUUUUCUACUCUUCUAAUCUACUAAAAACUAAAUGAGAGCAAUUUAUCAAUAAGUUCCUCAUCGAUGUCUUAAGAAGAGACGAAGUUAACACGAUUAACUGGGAUUUGAACUAACUCUCGAGCUACAUCCUUCAAUUCAAG
RNAcentral lists this long non-coding RNA (462 nucleotides) under Olea europaea (common olive). RNAcentral's name for it is "long non-coding RNA (OEUR_LNC011892)". Lineage: Eukaryota; Viridiplantae; Streptophyta; Magnoliopsida; Lamiales; Oleaceae. The record is from RNAcentral.